UGGGGAAUCUUGCGCAAUGGUCGAGAGACUGACGCAGCGACGCCGCGUGUGGGAGGACGCCUUUCGGGGUGUAAACCACUGUUGCCCGGGACGAAUCGGCCUAUUCGUAGGCCUUGACGGUACCUGCAGAAGAAGCCCCGGCCAACUACGUGCCAGCAGCCGCGGUAAUACGUAGGGGGCGAGCGUUGUCCGGAUUUAUUGGGCGUAAAGAGCUCGUAGGCGGUUCGAUAAGUCGGAUGUGAAAUCUCCACGCUCAACGUGGAGAGGCCAUUCGAUACUGUCGUGACUCGAGUCCGGUAGGGGAGUGUGGAAUUCCCGGUGUAGCGGUGAAAUGCGCAGAGAUCGGGAGGAACACCCGUAGCGAAGGCGGCACUCUGGGCCGGUACUGACGCUGAGGAGCGAAAGCGUGGGGAGCAAA
RNAcentral lists this ribosomal RNA (418 nucleotides) under uncultured bacterium. RNAcentral's name for it is "bacterial SSU rRNA". It matches the Rfam family "Bacterial small subunit ribosomal RNA", at positions 355 to 772 of the family's 1533-position model. The record is from RNAcentral.